AUAACCUCCACGGUAGGUGCAGCAGUGAAUUGGAAGUGAAGACACAAAUAGAACACCAACAACAACGGCAAAUAAAAACAACAGACACAUGUAAUAUAUCAGACAUUGUAACGCCUCAUGCCCAUGGAAACUUCAAACGGUUACAUAAACUUCUGCAGCGAAGCAAGUCUGGAGAGUUUGUAAAUGAACUACUUUCGAGAACAGCAAGGCUGUAUGAAAUGGAAAUAAAUAUGAAUGAUUUGUUGAAAGAUGAAAGCCACAAAUUGAUGAGCAGCGUGUGAUGCCUUGAAAGGCAAAUGUAUUGUCGAACUGAGGGGUCGGGCGCACGAUAGCAAGACACUACGUGAAUGAGCAGGAAGCAAACAUGAGAUUACACACAUACAUAUGCAUGUGCACCUGGGUCAAUGGUUCAAAUUGUAAACAUUUUUAUUUUAGAGAUCUAACGCACUCUAGACACACCUAAAACAUACUUUGUCAGGCAAUGGGCUCAUAUCGUCCAAAUUUACCUGAUGCAGCGGAAUAACUUUAUCUGUAAUUUAUUUUAGAGUAUAGAAUGUAUUCAUUGUGUAGAAUUCUAAACUCUAAAUAUAUGUGUACAUACAUUCAUAUAGUAUAAUGUAUAUGUAUUAUAGUAACUAUUGUAGUUAAACAAUGUAUUGGUCAUACAAACGCCCAGUUUCAUUGCUCAGCAGUUGCUACCGUUAAUUUGAACUGCAUAAAUAAGUGGUGCAUCAUCUGGCUUUAUGUAAGAACUCCGCACUCCCCUUGUUGAACCAUGGCCAUUAUAAUAAUACGCCACGAGCUCCAGUCAAAUCCUACACCAACUAGAACGCGAUGUACUUAUUCCAAACUGUGGCACGUGUGUGUGUAUGCUUGUAUUUCCACUUGCUGGUGUUUCUGCUUGGCCUGCUCCACCUUGAAGCAUGGCAAAAUGCCACUUCAUCCGCUGUUGGUUCAUGAUUUGUACGCACGCUUGCAUAGAAUAAAAACAAAAACAAAUAUAGCUGCAGGCAUGCAUCUCGGAUUAUGUUAAGGCAUUAAUUGAAGCCAGAACGGGCAACACUGCGCAAACCACUUCACUUAACACCACACAACUCCCAGCUGUACGAUGCGAUGCUCUUGGUUUGGUUGUUACACACAAAUGCACGCAUACAAAACUGCACUUAAAUUGCAAUUGAAGCCUCGCCAUUGCAGCAUCUCUCACAUGCCACUAAUACACCUAUGCACAUAUGGACGUAAAUCCGUACACAGGUAUGUAAGGAUGUGAAAAUGCCCGGAAGCUUUCUACUAUAGAGCCGACCAAAUAUAGGCUAUCUAUGAACUAGUCACAUUUGGACUAACAUGAAAGGUAAAAUGCAGUUCUAUUUUUAACUUGACUUAAAACGAGUAUAUAGUAUAAUAUAUAUAUUAUGUAUACCUGGCGACUGAAGCUUAUGUUAGAGUUUUUAAUUAAUAAAAAACAGAAUUAUAUUAUUUUUGCUUUUCUUUUGCACGACAAAAUAAAUCCUACCACUACAUCGCUCCAGAAAUAUGUUAUGUCAAAUUCGCCGUGGAAAAGCGCUGAUUAUAUACAUAUAUAUAUAUAUGUAUAUAUGUAUGUAUAUGCUUGAGCAUAGAAAUUUUCCUACUGGGUAUUGCGAUAUUUUAUAUUGUAUAUGUAUGUUGCACAUAAAUACAUGUUGGUGAAUGGCAACCUGCACAUUUAUGUUGGCAGCACGCUGUUCUAUCUGAUGACUGUGAUUAUUCUCGCCUGGACCGUUAUGCUGACAUUGCAAAGGGAGGCGUAGUUGGUGGCGCUGGGGCAUAGAUAACGCUGGGGAAUAGGGGAAUACUACCAUCAAAAAGCUCACAUAAAGAAUAUUCAAAUAAAACGAAAGCACAAAAUGCUUAGGAAUGAAAGUGUUACAUAAGUGCUGAAGUGCAACAAAAAUUGCAACCAUUUCGAAUAAUACCCUGCACCCUGCACAUAUGCACGCACAUCCACGGAUAUGAAAAGAGAAGUGAAUAAAAAAUUAUAAUUACGAUGUGUAAAAAACUCGCCUGCACAAUUUAAGAAUCCAGAUCGAGAAGCAAGAGCUUGGCUGACUUUGAAUGCGCUAUAACACAGUAUAUUUACUUAUAUAAUCCUGGAUGCUACAAAUGCAAAUUACUCUUGGCAAUUUUUGUGUGAUGACUUUCAAACGUCUGAAUUCAGAGGCUGUUAAGGAAGCGUUGUUUGUUACAGAUGAAAUAUAAUAUGAAAGAGACGCGUCAGUAACAAUUUCUAAAGCUCGGCAACCCACUACGUCCUUUUGCGACAUCAUUUCAUUUUAACAAAUCCGCAACCUGAGUGUUUAAAAAUUUUUCGAUUCCAACACAACUGUUAUGUUUACAGUCGAUCUCAAAGAUCAGUAAGUUUAACUGAGUUUAACUCUCUUAUUGUUCAUAUUCACCAAGUUUACCUGAACUCGCUAAGUCCUAAUGUUUCCACAUGCGAAUAUGCACUUAUGUGCCACCUAAUGCGAAUGAGUAAGCAUAAGUUCCACAAGUAGUUGGGGUCGAGUAACCGUCGAGUGCACACAUCAGGAUGCAUAAAUAAACAAUUUUUUGUACUCAAAAUCAUAACCUAACAACACUCGCAAGACAGACAGCAAAAAACAAAUAAUUUAUGCCGAGAGGUAGGUACUCAGGUUUAUUUUUUUAAUGAAUGGCGAAAUGACGGGAAUAGCUGUAGUCUUUAUUACAUCGUAGCCAAAAUUGAAAAGGCUCACGCAGCCGUGAAGCCAACCAUCGCCAGAGACUUUUUUUACAAACGUACAAAAAUGUGUUCAUAUGUAUAAUAUUAUAGCUAAUACAGACAUUCAUACAUACAUACGUACAUAUGUAUAUGUUAAAGUAUCGCACUUAGCAUAGCAUCUGCAGAUCUAUCCUGUGUCACAAUUAACACACUCGCACACAGGGACCUCGUAGCACAGCUUACCAGACUUCUUCAAUUGCCAAGUAUUUCUUACUGUCUGUUACCUGCACACUACUUCCUUUUUUAAGCCAAUAUAAAUACUAUAUCACCGUUUAAUCCAACAUCAAUAAUGAUGCGUUUAAUAAAUCUAGGGUCCUCAGCUACGUUCAAGCAACUUAUUUACGACUUCUACUCAACAUCGUUUUUGCAGGUCUAUUAAAAAGUUCAUGAGAGAUUUCGAUAUCCGCUAUCUCUCUGAUGCCAUCACGAGAAUUUUCAAGCACUGUUUCUUUAACAGCGGUGGAUGAACUACUCGCAUGAAAAGUCUUUGGUGACUUCACGAUUUUCAAUAAUUUGUGCCACUCGAGUAAUUUGGUUCGUAAUAAGGUAGACUCCCUAAGACAAUUCUGCAACAAUUUCAAUGAUUUCCGUAACAGUCCGUGUAAAUUUUGGUGUUACAGCCAGUAUCGAGCCCAUCAGGAGUAACAACAACAGUAAUGUUUAACAGCUUUAAAGGAAUAAAAGGAGAAAAGUAGAGCCUGUGCGACUUGGCCUUCGUAUACAUCCAAAUGGGUUAUGUGUAUUAAAAAAAUGUACAUAUGUGCAUUAAAUUGGAUUAUUUUCCUAUGAAAAUAUGCAAAAAUAAUGCAAUAUUAGUAUUUUUAAAUUUUUGGUCUGUGGUGAACCAGCUAGUGUAAAUGCCCAUACAUAUGUAUGUUGGUAUUGCAACAUAAAAUGUUCCUCCCAACGCCGGAUGAUGAAAAUUUGGAUCUGCCCAGUUUAUGAAAAUCUAAUCGUCAUUGUAAAAAACUUAGUAAUUUCACUACUUUGUCAAGAGAUUGAAUAAUCCGUUUACACAUAAAUAAAAACAUAAGAUUUGUCGCCGGAUUGAAAUUUCUACAUAUUUAUUUUAAAUAAUUCGUUUUUGGAAACAUUUGUUUUUGUAUUAUUGAAUACUGUUGGCUUUGUUUUACGAAUGUCUAUUGUAGUGUUGUUACCUUUGUAAGAAAAAAAUAGAGUGAAUUUGUUUAAAUAAUAUAUAUGAUCAAAUAAUAAAACGCAAUUAUUUAAUUCCGAUAUAAAAAAACAAA
Molecule: long non-coding RNA, 4026 nt
Filed under: Bactrocera tryoni
Lineage: Eukaryota; Metazoa; Arthropoda; Insecta; Diptera; Tephritidae
Description: uncharacterized LOC120772812
Source: RNAcentral